Molecule: transfer RNA, 71 nt
Filed under: Candidatus Iainarchaeum sp.
Lineage: Archaea; Nanobdellati; Candidatus Iainarchaeota; Candidatus Iainarchaeia; Candidatus Iainarchaeales; Candidatus Iainarchaeaceae
Description: tRNA-Gly
Rfam family: tRNA
About the family: Transfer RNA (tRNA) molecules are approximately 80 nucleotides in length. Their secondary structure includes four short double-helical elements and three loops (D, anti-codon, and T loops). Further hydrogen bonds mediate the characteristic L-shaped molecular structure. tRNAs have two regions of fundamental functional importance: the anti-codon, which is responsible for specific mRNA codon recognition, and the 3' end, to which the tRNAs corresponding amino acid is attached (by aminoacyl-tRNA synthetases). tRNAs cope with the degeneracy of the genetic code in two manners: having more than one tRNA (with a specific anti-codon) for a particular amino acid; and 'wobble' base-pairing, i.e. permitting non-standard base-pairing at the 3rd anti-codon position.
Source: RNAcentral
GCGUUCGUGAUGUAAUGGUAGCAUGUGAGCCUUCCAAGCUUUUCGUCAGGGUUCGAGCCCCUGCGAGCGCA